GAUGAACGCUAGCGGCAGGCUUAAUACAUGCAAGUCAAGGGGGUAGCAAUACAACCGGCGCACGGGUGAGUAACGCGUACACAACAUGCCAUAUACUGGGGUAUAGCUUUGGGAAACUGAAGGUAAUCCCCCAUAACAUUGCGAGAGGGCAUCUGAUUGCAAUUAAAGUUUCGGCGGUAUAUGAUUGGUGUGCGUUUGAUUAGCUAGUUGGUAGGGUAACGGCCUACCAAGGCGACGAUCAAUAGCUGGCGUGAGAGCGCGACCAGCCACACUGGAACUGAGACACGGUCCAGACUCCUACGGGAGGCAGCAGUAGGGAAUAUUGGACAAUGGAGGAAACUCUGAUCCAGCCAUGCCGCGUGAUAGAUGAAGGCCCUCUGGGUUGUAAAUAUCUUUUAUCUGGGAAGAAACAAUCUUAUUCUUAAGAAUCUUGACGGUACCAGAGGAAUAAGCACCGGCUAACUCCGUGCCAGCAGCCGCGGUAAU
Molecule: ribosomal RNA, 486 nt
Filed under: uncultured bacterium
Lineage: Bacteria
Description: bacterial SSU rRNA
Rfam family: Bacterial small subunit ribosomal RNA
Source: RNAcentral